GGUUUGGGUGAAAAUAAUCCUGUGUGAUGCAUGUACCGUACGCGAGAUUUUUCAUCCACUGAUAUGCUGCCACGUCACCAUCAACAGUACAUAAGAAUUUUAGCCCAACAGGAUCGUGACACCUCAUCAGUCAAUGCCACAUCAUCGGUCAAUGCCACAUCAUCGAUCCGUCUAUGUGAACAGUGUUGUGAACAGUAACGUAGUUAGUACCGUACACGUGAAUAGUACCGUACAUAUGAAUAAUGCCAUUUUUCCUUUUAUGCUCCUCUUAAGGUUUUCGACCGUCCUGAGUUCAAAAGUGAUGUCCGUUUUGCCGUCUGAUCUCUCCUUUAUUGUGAAAUGACUAUAAUGCCCCUAAAAUACAUAAAAUACUUAAUUAAAAUAAAACACAUGUAAUUAAAUCACAAGAAGGUUAAAUACAUAAAAGUAAGGGUUGUUAGUAAGACUUGAAAUGUAAAAUGACGGUUUUCUCCUUUAUAAAUAUGCAUUUUCUAACACUCAACACACUCCCCAACCAGCUUAUUGCUAGUCCCUAGCAAAUAAAGCGAAAACAAAAUUCAAAUUUAAAAUAUAUAUAUAUAUUUUUUAAUAGAAACACUCGUAUUUAUUCCGUCAGAUUAAUGAUAGCAAUCAAAUAAAAAUAUAAGCAUUAUCUCCAGUCUAAAGCAACAUCACACCCACAUUAACCAUCCACAUGAAUCAGGCCAGUAGACUUUGUCAUAGCUACUUUCAAGAAUGACAUGUCAAACCCCAAAAUCUCACUGGAAGUAGUGACACUCUCACAAAGAAAUUAAAACCAAUAAAAAUAGUCACUCCAAUGAAUGGUAAUUGAGAGAGAAAAUAAUAAAGAAGUGAUAUCACAUGCUCUCACCAAGAUGAAAUAAAUAUGCCCUCAGCUUAUAAAUAAUACGAACUCAAGUCAAACAAAAAUGCUAGUCAACCCACUUUAUUUAUCUUCUUUUUUUUUUUUAUUAUGCAUCACUACAUCUUUUUAGCCCAUAUAACUAGCUUCUACUUCAAACUAUAGUUCCCUAAAAUCAAGAAGGACUUUUAUUAGGACGUAACGUAGGCUAGGGAUAUGGCUAACAAAGAAAGGAAAUAAGGAAAACAAAGUGUAUGUUUGAGAAAAAUGCAGAAUUUUUUUUUUUUUUUUUUGGAACUUGCAAGGUGGAUUUCACCUAUUAUUGUUAUUUUUAUUUUCUCUUUUGAAACAACAACUUUUGUUUUUUUUUUCUUUUUUUUUUUUUGGCAUAACUUUACUGAACAACAUAAUUAUUUACAUUUUCUCAAACAUAAAUAGGUGAUGGAACUUAUAAGACAUUGGGUAAUACUCCAAAUUGGAGUGGGUCAAGAUGAUAAGUUGACAAAGAAAUUUUUUUUUUUUUUUUUUUUUAAAGGCUCAAAAGGGUUAACUAUGGAUAUUUGAUAAAAGGGAUGGCUAGAAAGGCUCAAACGGAUCAAAGAUGGCCUUUCCAUCGUCUUUUAGGGCUCUAAAUAAUUAUCCAUAUUUACUAGUUAGAUGGGCCUCCCAAUGUAGUAACACACAUUUUUUCUUUUUUUCUUUUUUUUUAAUUUUACCAUUUUUUUUUUAAAGGGUUAACUCAAAAGAAAUCUAGAGAUCGUGUAUAAAAUAAUAAACUGCUAAGCUGUAUAGAGAAUGGGCAAAAGGGUUACUCUCCGAGAAAAUGAUAGGCUCAACAACUCACUUGGCACUUAUUUAUGACAUGUUCAUUCCUUCAAGCAGCUCAUAUUUGUCUCCGACAUCAACAUGUAAAGUAGCAAACAUAGUUUAACAUCACUUAAGACCAAAGAUAAUACAAAUACUAAAAUUUGAAAUUAAUCAUGUCAUCCAAUGUUAAAACAAAAAAAACACAAUUUUUUUUUUUGAACUACAUUCUACCCCCCAACCUAUUCUAAACAUGAAAGGAAAAUAUGCAUGCAGAAAUGUGAAAAUGAUGCAUAAAAACUAAUUAGAAAAGUUACACGUAAAAUGAUAGAAAAAGAAAAUGGGUUUUUUUUUUUUUUGUUUUUUAAGAAGAUGCGUUUCUAGAGGCACUACACUCCAUAUUCAGCCAUCUUCGACUCACAAGUUGGAAAAUGUAUAUUUAUAGAGGAGAAAUUAAAAAGAAGAAAAAUAAACAUAAAAACAGAAUAAAGAAAAAAAAAAAACUGCCUGAAAUUUUUUUUUUUAGUUUUUUAAUUUUUUUUUAAACGAUGAAUAUGCGUUUCUAGAGUCACUACACUCCAUAUUCAGCCAUCUUCAACACAAAAAGUUAGCAACAGUUAGUUUCUACAACAAAAAAUCAGUAAAAACUUAACCAAGAUUCCACAAUUGUCGACUAUUCCCUCCCCCCAACCAGAACGAAACAUUGUCCUCAAUGUUUUAAAGGAAAGAAGUAGAGUUUAGAAGACAUCACCUGGGUGGUGCAACACAGAAGAAUAUAUUUACAGGCGGAGAGUUAAAUCUAAUUUGAACUUCUUACUGCGGCUACUGUUACCAUCAUUAUUUGGGCGCUCCAAUACAAAGGUCCAGGGGUCUGGCUCCGGUUUAUAAGCUUGUAACAGAUCAAGUAGCUCAUUAGUAGUGUGAGCACAAAUAAAAAGUUUUUUUACAUUAGAAGGAAUGAAAUAGUUUUUUAUUGCAUGGUUAAGAAAUGCGAUAAAGCCAUCAUAAAAGUUAUUGACAUUUAACAAACCGAUGAGUUUCUGGUGAAUGUGUAGAUGGGCCCAAGAUGCUUGUGUCAUAAGUGCCUCUAGUGUUGCAAGAUCUCCUGGAAGGAAAAUAAAAGCAUCAGCAUGAUUAAGCAUUUCAGUUAUUCUUUCUUGCAUACUUGAGACCACUAACUCUUCUCCAGUUGAUGAGUCAGACAAACUGCCCAAUGGUUUUAAGACUCUUGGGAUGAUGCCUAACACUUGACUUCCUCUGAUAAAAGCUGCUUCUGAGACCAUUUUUGAUAACCCUCGGUUACCUCCUCCAUACACCAAGUGUAAUUUUCUCGCUGCUAUGCUUCGACCAAGAUCUAUGGCUGCCUCAACGAACUCUUUAUGUUUGCCAUAGGUAAAUCCAGAAAGCACACAAAUGUUUUGAAUUGUCUAUUGGGAGUGGCUGCCAUUGUGAUACUUCUCAAAAAUAAUUUGUGAGUGCUUGACAAAAAGUAAAUCACAUUUAAGAAUCUUGGUGACAGUGGAUCACAGUUGUGAAUGAGGUAACAUGUCAGUGUCAAAUAACGCGUAAAGCACGUGGCUCGCGAGUCAAAAAGGAAAUAGUAAAAAGGAAAAAGCAAACAAUAAGAAAAUUAUUAAAGGCAAUAAUGCAAACGAUAAAACAAUAGUGAAAUAAAAUAACAGAAAGUAAAAGGAUAUUUACACGUAGUUGCGACUGUGGCUCACAUCUUCCUCUGGUUUUACGUCCAGAAACGGCUUGAACGCCCUCUAUGGGUCGAGGAUGGGCUUCCCAUCCAGUUUUCUUAUAAACUGGCAAACAGGGUCGUUUAUAGUCAGGUUCCCGAGACUAUAUCGUGCAUGUUCUUUCUGGAAUAAUGGCCAUAACUGGAGAAUCGCUCCUUGCACAUAUCCACUGGGAUGCGUUUCAAGAGACAAAAGAAUAUCAUCCAAUGACUCCUUAUUCAAGCCAUCCCUAAUGAAUUGAAUCUUAUCUUCCCUGUUAUCAGACACCAUUCCUAAAGAACAUGGGUUUUUAUCGCAACUCAUUCUGGCACACUUAUGACAAGCAACAGAAAUUCUUCGAGCUCGUCGUUUUCUUGCAUAAUUUCCUUUACCACAACCAGGCAUGAAUGCAAUAAAUUUUGGAGGUAACUCACCUGCCGAUCGUACUUUAGCCUCGAUUAACCAACGGAUGUCAGCAGGUAUGUUAUUCUUCAUGAGUAAUCGUAUGCGUUCGGACCGAGCUUUAUAGAUCGUAAGGAGGGCAUUCUGAGGAAGUGAAGGGAAUCGCUUGUGAAGCUUCGCUAGAAUCUCGUUUCUGUCCAUACUUUCGCCUCAGAAUGUCAGUUAUUAUGGGAAACUGAAAUAACCGACUUGAUUGUCACGGAGUACCGUUAUCCGCCGCUUCACCGGGGUAAUAAACUAAAGCACAUAAACAAAAAAACAAAUCAAAACACACAAAGAAAAUUAAAAUCGUCCUCUUAUUGAAUUUACCUCAAGCUCCAACUGGAUGUCGUAAACACUUCUCUCAAUGUCUCUGAGUUGGCGUUCUAAACCCUCAACAUAGGCUACUAACUCUGGUGGUUGUAGAGCCCAAAUGUGAUGUGUUUUACAAAAUUGAAUCUGCUUUUUGAGAUGAGUUUUGACACGUUGAAGUGGUUUAAGAAUGUUCAGGAGGAACGGUCUAAGUAAGGUACUCAUGAUUAAAAUGAUAAGAGAAAACUUAAUUGUUAAACAAACACACUUAUGCAAAAAUAAUUUCAAUUAGCAAAAGAAUAAUAAAAAGAAAGAAAGAAAAAUCAAAUCAACGAAAAGAAAAAAAAAACAAAUCAAUUCAAAUCUGGUGGGUCACUCAAAUUUAUUUCGGUGUCUUCUCCAUGUGGUUGGUAUUCUAGAUAUGGCUUUAAUCUUUGACCAUUAACUUUAAACGUGACACCAUUCUUUAGGUCCUUAAUUUCAUUUGCCCCAUGUGGAAAAACAGUAUGAACAAUAAAGGGACCAGACCAUCGAGAGCGUAACUUACCUGGGAAUAAGUGCAAACGAGAAUUGAAUAAAAGCACUUUCUGACCUGGAGUGAACGAUUUCCUCAUAAUGUGCUUGUCAUGAAAGACUUUCAUUCGUUGCUUGUAAAUCUUGGCAUUUUCGUAUGCAUCAUUGCGAAUUUCUUCAAGUUCUGCCAGUUGUAAUCUUCUUUCUGAGCUGGCUUGCUGCAUGUCAAAGUUGAAUUUCUUGAUGGCCCAAUAUGCACGAUGCUCGAGUUCCACAGGUAGGUGGCAAGCUUUUCCAUACACUAGCCUGUAGGGUGACAUCCCAAUCGGGGUCUUGAAAGCCGUUCUAUAUGCCCAUAAUGCAUCAUCAAGUCUUAAUGACCAAUCUUUUCUGUCUGGCUUCACCGUCUUUUCUAAUAUGUGCUUUAUUUCUCGAUUGGAGAUCUCAACUUGGCCACUGGUUUGCGGAUGAUACGGAGUCGCCACUUUGUGGGUGAUUGAAUACUUUGUCAAAAGAGCUUUGAAUGCUUUGUUACAAAAGUGGGCACCACCAUCACUGAUUAUUGCUCGAGGGAAUCCAAAGCGUGAGACAAUGUUGCUUUUCAAAAAUCCUAUCACCACUUUGUGAUCAUUGGUCCUACAUGGAAUUGCUUCUACCCAUUUCGAGACGUAGUCAACACCAACCAAUAUGUAUUGAUGGCCAAAAGAAAGGGGAAAAGGUCCCAUGAAGUCGAUACCCCAUACGUAAAAAAUCUCAACCACUAAAAUUGGAUUUAGUGGCAUCAUGUUCCUUCGCGUAAUGCUCCCCAUUCGUUGACACCUAUCACAUGAAGAACAGAAAGUGUAAGCAUCUCGAAAUAUAGUUGGCCAAUAGAAACCACAUUGUAAAACUUUUGUAGCUGUUUUCUUAGCACUAAAAUGGCCUCCACACGCUUGUUCAUGGCAGAAUGAAAGGAUAUUUUGAAUUUCACUUUCUGGGACACAUCGCCUAACAAUUUGAUCUGCACAAUACUUGAACAAAUACGGGUCAUCCCAAAAGAAAUUCUUUAUUUCCGCAAAGAAUUUAGCCUUGUCUUGCUUGGUCCAAUGCUCUGGAAGUUUACCUGUAACAAGAUAAUUAACUAUAUCAGCAUACCAAGGUAAUACUUCCACAUUCAUUAAUUGUUCAUCUGGAAAUGACUCAUUCAAUGGUAAUGGUUCCAUAAUUGUAUCAAAAUGGAGGCGAGAGAGAUGGUCAGCUACAACAUUCUUUGUGCCUUUCUUAUCUUUGAAUUCCAAGUCAAAUUCCUGCAAAAGUAAUACCCAACGAAUUAGUCUAGCUUUUGCAUCUUUCUUUGUGAGAAGAUAUUUAAGAGCAGCAUGAUCUGUGAAUAUAAUUAUUUUACAACCAAUGAGAUAAGAUCGAAAAUUUUCCAAUGCAAAUACUACUACUAGCAUUUCUUUUUCAGUAGUUGAAUAGUUCAACUGUGCAUCAUUCAAUGUCAUACUAGCAUAGUAAAUAACAUGAGGAAUUCGAUCAACUCUUUGUCCUAAAACUGCUCCUACUGCAUAAUCAGAUGCAUCACACAUAAGCUCAAAUGGUAAGCUCUAGUUUAGGGCCUGAAUGAUGGGUGAUGAUGUCAACAAUUGCUUUAAUUUUUCAAAAGCCAUAAGACAUGAAUCAUUAAAGAUAAAAGGUACAUCCUUAGCAAGUAAAUUGCAUAAGGGUCUAGAAACUUUGCUAAAAUCUCUAAUGAAACGUCUAUAGAAACCAGCAUGCCCAAGGAAAGAUCUUACUUCUCUGACUGUUUUGGGUGGAGGAAGAUUAGAAAUGAGAUCCACCUUAGCUUUGUCAACCUCAAUACCUUUGCUCGAAAUGAUGUGACCGAGAACAAUACCUUGUUUUACCAUAAAAUGGCACUUCUCCCAAUUUAAGACUAAGUUCUUCUCGAUACAUCUCUGCAGAACUAGCGUUAGAUGAUGUAAACAUUGAUCAAACGAGUCACCAAAGACAGAAAAAUCAUCCAUAAAGACUUCAAGGAAUCGUUCAACCAUAUCAGAAAAAAUGCUCAACAUGCAUCGUUGGAAUGUAGCAGGUGCAUUACAUAAUCCAAAUGGCAUUCUCCUAUAUGCAAAAGUGCCAAAAGGGCAAGUGAAAGUAGUUUUCUCUUGAUCUUUUGGUGCUAUGGGAAUCUGAUUAUAUCCUGAGUAGCCAUCUAGAAAGCAAUAAAAUUCAUGGCCUGCUAAUCUAUCAAGCAUUUGAUCAAUAAAUGGUAAAGGAAAAUGAUCUUUACGUGUGACAGAAUUCAACUUUCUAUAAUCAAUGCAUACACGCCAUCCUGUAGUUACUCUAGUUGGUAUCAAUUCAUUAUCGGCAUUCGUAACUACUGUGACUCCUGACUUUUUGGGGACAACUUGUACAGGACUGACCCAUGAACUAUCAGAAAUUGGGUAAAUGAUACCUGCGUCUAAUAGCUUAAGGACUUCUGUUCUAACAACUUCUUUCAUAUUAGGAUUUAACCGACGUUGCAUUUCCCUAGUAGAUUUAGCAUUUUCAUCAAGGUGAAUGUAAUGCAUGCAGUCUACUGGGUUUAUACCUUUUAUGUCCGCUAUGGUCCAUCCUAAUGCUUCUUUGUGCUCUUUUAAAACAUCCAACAACUUACCUUUUUGUUCGUCAUUUAGGGAUGAUGAGAUGAUUACCGGUAGAGUACUUUCUUCUCCCAAAAAUGCAUAUUCCAAUGUGUUGGGCAAUGGUUUGAGCUCGAGUUUCGGUGGUGAUUCAGAUGAUGGGAUGAGUUUCUUUUCUGAUGGUGCUAGUUGUUCAACUCUUGACUUCCAUUUAUUAGUGUCCAUGGAUGGUGCUGAGUCAAGUAGGGCGUUGACCUCAUCGACCGAUCUGUCAAUAUCAAAAUCCAAACCAAAGUGAGUUAAAUAUGUUUGUAAAGGAUCAUCACUAAGGUUUGAAACAAAAGUAUUAUCAACUAUUGUUUCUAUUAAAUCCACAUCAACAAUUCCAUCAUUUGCACUGUGAGGUUGUUUGGCAAUGUUGAAAAUGUUUAGCUCCAUAGUCAUGUUGCCGAAGGACAACUGCAUAUUUCCAGUCCUGCAUUGAAUAUGAGCAUCUGCAGUUGCCAAGAAAGGUCGGCCUAGAAUAAUAGGGAUGUGCUUCCUUGAGUCCUGUAUUGGUUGAGUGUCAAUUACAAUGAAAUCAACAGGAAAAUAAAACUUCUCUACCUGGAUAAGCACGUCCUCUACAAUACCACGAGGUAUUUUCGUGGACCGAUCUGCAAGCUGUAACACCACUGGAGUUGGGUGUAAUUCUCCAAGUCCAAGUUUCAUGAAUACAGAGUAAGGCAAAAGAUUUACACUAGCUCCUAAAUCCAACAAAGCAUUCUCAAUUGUGUGGUUCCCUAUACUACAUGAGAUAGUGGGGGAGCCUGGGUCUUUGCAUUUUAAAGGAAUUUUAUGUUGGAGUAUAGAACUAACGUUUUCUGUUAAAAAUGCCUUCUUUUGAACAUGCAUGUUUCUCUUUUUAGUACAAAGGUCUUUAAGAAACUUGGCAUAAGAUGGAACUUGUUUAAUAGCAUCAAGUAAAGGGAUGUUAACACUUACUUGUUUGAAGAUUUCGAGAAUCUCACCUGUGGAUUUUCCCUUCUUUCCUUUCGCUAACCUCUGAGGAAAUGGAGCUUUGGGAACAUAGUCUCGUGGGUUGGUUUCUUCUUUCUCCUCCGAUGAUGAUUCCUCAACAUUCAUAGGUACAAUUUGAUUUUCUUUUGUCACCGGCAUCUCCACUUUGUUGUCGACUUCCUUUCCUUUUCGCAAGGUCAUAACUGCUUUGACCUCUCCAUGCUGCUGUGGUGAACUGGUACUUGCUUCAUGCACUCCUUUAGGAUUAGGCACUGGUUGACUUGGAAACUUGCCUUUCUCAACAGUCAUUGCCAAGGUCUGAACUGAAGAAGCAAGCUGUCCCACCAUCUUCUCGAGGCUUGAAACUGAUUGGGCUUGUGAGUUGAAGCCCGCUCUCAACUCAUUUCGUAGUCCAUCAAUAGUGCGGUUCUGUUGCUCAAUCGUAGAGUGAGUAGCAUUCUUGAAAUUCUGGAAUGAAUCCUCCCAUGGUCUGGGUUGAGAGUAGUUCUGGUUCUGAUUGUAUGAUCUAAAUGGUGGCUGAGAGGCUUGAGGAACUUGAGGAAUUUGUGGAGCUGGAGCUGCUGGUCCAUUCUGUUGGAAUCCUUGAGACCAUGAAAAAUUGGGGUGGUCUCUCCAUCCAGGAUUAUAUGUGUUGGAGUAUGGGUUGUAAUUAGAUGGUUUUCUCAUUACACCUAUGGCAUUGGCUUGAUCUGAGUAUGAGUCAUGGUCAUGUGGCUCUGUUGAUUUAGCAGUCGAUAAUGAUGCUAUUUGUCGAGAGAGACCUUCUAUUAUUGCUUUGACUUCUUUGAUUUCUGAAUUUGACUCGCCAAUUUGAACCUCAUUCACUCCUUUAACUCUUCUAGUAUUCCUGAGUGAUCGACUCCGUUGUUGGGAAUUAUCCGCUUGUCGCUGGAAGAAUUUCCAAAUCUCUGAUGCACUUUUUGACAUUAGCUCUCCUCCACUUGUUGCCAUUAGCCAUUCUUGCACAUUCGGCAAUAAUCCCUCCAAAAAGUAUUGGCAUUGAUGCCAUUUCUCGUACCCAUGAUGUGGACACUUCAAGAGUAGCCCAUUAAAUCGCUCCCAUGUUUCGAAAAACUGCUCGUCCUCUCUCUGUGUAAACUCUGAAAUUUCCCUGCGAAUAGCAUUGGUUUUAUGCACUGGGAAAUAUUUAUUUAGAAAUUUUGUAACCAUUUGUUCCCAUGAUGCAAUGCUAUUAGCAGGCAAAGUAUUUAACCAUGAACGAGCUCUAUCCUUUAAAGAAAAUGGGAAUAAUCUAAGUUUAACAUCAUCAUCUGAAAAAUUCUCGUAUUUAAAAGUUUGACAAAUAGCAUGAAAAUCAUUCAGAUGAUUAUAUGGGUCCUCAUUUUCUAGGCCAUAAAAUGUGGGGAGACAAUUUAGCACACUAGGUUUUAGUUCAAAACUCCUAGCAGCUACAUUUGGGUAUCUUAUGCAUGAUGUGCUCAAAUUAGCUAAUGGACUAAAAUAGUCCUUAAAUGGCCUCUCCUGUGGUGCUUGUAAAUCCAUUCCAAAUUUAUUUUCAAUGUGCUUUUGUGUGCGAAGUGUUUUUUCUAAUUCAAGGUCUAUAGGUUCAAGAUUAGGUAAUAAUGACCUACGACCAUGCAUGCAAAACAAAUAAAAUAAAAAUAAAGAUGGGAACAAAACAAAUAAAAAUAAAGAAGAGGGAGAAAUUACGAUACUAACUUUAUUGCGCUAUUACAACCUUUCUAUAAAAAUACACAAAAAUAAAUACGUGAAAUAAAUUAACUAAAAAUUAAAUUAAUAAAAUAAACAAAAAUUACAAAGAAAAAAUAAAUUGAAAAUUAAAUUACAGAAUUUUAAAGAAGAGAAAAAGAAAAGAAAUACUAACCUUUAAAUGUAGAUUUACUUUUUUUUUCUUUUAAUAAAAAAUACAAGAAAACAAAUAAAAGAAAUUAUUCACAAAAAUUAAUUCUAUGAAUUAAAAUUACUUACCUCCCCGGCAACGGCGCCAAAAACUUGUUGUGCAAAUUUUAAUGAACUCGCAAGCGCACGAAUCUAUUGUAGUGUAGAUCAAUGGUGACGAGUGUCGAUCCCACGAGGAGGUGGAUUUUAAUUGUGUAUAGAAUUAAUUUUGCAAAAUGGGUGGUUGGAAUUGUGGUGGAAGUGAUUUAAAUUAUCCUAAAAUUGGAAUUGAAAUUGCGAUAAUAAAUUCUAAAAUUGGAAUUGCAAUGGCGAGAAUAAGUUGAAGCGAAAUCUAUUGAAAUGACGUACUUGGGUAUCUGGAUCCGUAUCAACAUGCAUCAUGGGCUAAAUAAUCCAUAUUAAUGCCAAUUAAAUCAUGAGGGGGGAAUCCACACCUCAUGAACCACGCUCUAAUCAAUAUGGUGCUAAAGGCUUAUCGUGCCAAAUAAUAAUAACCUUAUACUAGAGAGCCGGUGUAACCAAGGCGGUAUCUAGACAAGAUCAGUAUUAUUUGUCGACGAUAAGUCAAAUCAUCCACAAAAACUAGAGGGGAAAAGAAAAUAAAUUUACCAAAUAAAGCCCAUGACACAUGUUGAGACUUCACCUUCAACCCAAGCUUGAAAGGAAAUUAGCUACUCAUAAUUGAACUAGGGGUAAAAUGGGAAUUUAUUAAAAUACAAAGAAAAUACAAGAUGGAGAAGGAAUUACAGAAAAUGGAUCCCAAAAAUGGAUUCAGAGAUAUCAAAUUAGGGGGGGGAGGCCCCUUUUUUAUAGAUACAUGGAGUAAAUCAUGGCCAUCGGAUUAAAAACAGUUUGGACGCUCAGGAUUGCGCCACGUCAUCAGUCAACAGUCCACGGUUUGACCACGCGGAUGAACAGUAACGCGGUUUGACUUGGAUGAACAGUAACGCGGUUUGGGUGAAAAUAAUCCUGUGUGAUGCAUGUACUGUACGCGAGAUUUUUCAUCCACUGAUAUGCUGCCACGUCACCAUCAACAGUACAUAAGAAUUUUAGCCCAACAGGAUCGUGACACCUCAUCAGUCAAUGCCACAUCAUCGGUCAAUGCCACAUCAUCGAUCCGUCUAUGUGAACAGUGUUGUGAACAGUAACGUAGUUAGUACCGUACACGUGAAUAGUACCGUACAUAUGAAUAGUGCCAUUUUUCCUUUUAU
Molecule: long non-coding RNA, 11371 nt
Filed under: Citrus maxima (pomelo)
Lineage: Eukaryota; Viridiplantae; Streptophyta; Magnoliopsida; Sapindales; Rutaceae
Description: long non-coding RNA (CMAX_LNC004166)
Rfam family: Plant small nucleolar RNA R71 (bases 9295-9398)
Source: RNAcentral